Molecule: ribosomal RNA, 494 nt
Filed under: Salmonella enterica
Lineage: Bacteria; Pseudomonadati; Pseudomonadota; Gammaproteobacteria; Enterobacterales; Enterobacteriaceae
Description: partial 23S ribosomal RNA
Rfam family: Bacterial large subunit ribosomal RNA
Source: RNAcentral
GGUUAAGCGACUAAGCGUACACGGUGGAUGCCCUGGCAGUCAGAGGCGAUGAAGGGCGUGCUAAUCUGCGAUAAGCGCCGGUAAGGUGAUAUGAACCGUUAUAACCGGCGAUACCCGAAUGGGGAAACCCAGUGUGACUCGUCACACUAUCAUUAACUGAAUCCAUAGGUUAAUGAGGCGAACCGGGGGAACUGAAACAUCUAAGUACCCCGAGGAAAAGAAAUCAACCGAGAUUCCCCCAGUAGCGGCGAGCGAACGGGGAGGAGCCCAGAGCCUGAAUCAGCAUGUGUGUUAGUGGAAGCGUCUGGAAAGGCGCGCGAUACAGGGUGACAGCCCCGUACACAAAAGCGCAUGUGCUGUGAGCUCGAUGAGUAGGGCGGGACACGUGGUAUCCUGUCUGAAUAUGGGGGGACCAUCCUCCAAGGCUAAAUACUCCUGACUGACCGAUAGUGAACCAGUACCGUGAGGGAAAGGCGAAAAGAACCCCGGCGAGG